This is a non-coding RNA of Meleagris gallopavo (turkey), 295 nucleotides long. NCBI's taxonomy places the organism in Eukaryota, Metazoa, Chordata, Aves, Galliformes, Phasianidae. The record is from RefSeq and is a predicted model, not a curated record.
UUGGGAUUUGGUCUCUGUCAGUGGUGAAGGUCAAGCAUCUCUCCAAGUUACUGUACCUGACACUAUUACAGAAUGGAAUGCCAAUAUCUUCUGUGUUGCUGAUAGUGGCUUUGGGCUUUCUCAUUUAGCUACACUUAGAGUCUUCCAGCCUUUCUUUGUAGACCUUUCUCUGCCAUACUCUGUGAUCCAAGGAGAGAUUUUCAGCCUGAAAGCCAUCGUCUUCAACUACCUCAAGGACUGUAUCCAAGUGCACACCACCCUCAUAGAGACUCCAGAACUAAAGGUGGAUGCCUGU